AGCUCAAGCGUGAGAAGGGCAUUUGGUGGAUGCCUUGGCGCCAAGAGGCGAUGAAGGACGUGGCACGCUGCGCUAAGCCACGGGGAGCCGCGAGCAGGCUUUGAUCCGUGGAUUUCCGAAUGGGGAAACCCGACCGUCAGGUCAUCUUUACCUGAAUUCAUAGGGUAAAGAAGCUAACCCGGGGAAUUGAAAUAUCUCAGUACCUGGAGGAAAGGACAUCAACCGAGACUCCCUUAGUAGUGACGAGCGAACGGGGACCAGGCCAGUGCCUUUGGGAGAUAACCAGAACCGUCUGGAAAGUCGGGCCGUAGAGGGUGAUAGCCCCGUAUGGGUAAAGUAACCGAAGGCGUCGAGUAGGGCGGGGCACGUGAAACCCUGUCUGAAUAUGGGGGGACCACCCUCCAAGCCUAAGUACUCCUUGGCGACCGAUAGCGAACCAGUACCGUGAGGGAAAGGUGAAAAGUACCCCUAGUAGGGGAGUGAAAUAGACCUGAAACCGAAUGCCUACAAGCAGUGGGAGCCGAAAGGUGACCGCGUACCUUUUGUAUAAUGGGCCAGCGAGUUAGUCUUUGCAGCAAGCUUAAGCCGAUAGGUGUAGGCGUAGCGAAAGCGAGUCUGAAUAGGGCGCAGAGUUGCAGGGAUUAGACCCGAAGCCGAGUGAUCUAGCCAUGGGCAGGUUGAAGGUGCGGUAACACGUACUGAAGGACCGAACCCACGUCUGUUGAAAAAGACCGGGAUGACCUGUGGUUAGGGGUGAAAGGCCAAUCAAACUCGGCGAUAGCUGGUUCUCCGCGAAAGCUAUUUAGGUAGCGCGUCAUGUAUCACCGCCGGGGGUAGAGCACUGGAUCGGGACGGGGGGCGCGAGCCUUUACCAACUCGAACCAAACUCCGAAUACCGGCGAGUGCAGCAUGGCAGACAGUCUUCGGGUGCUAACGUCCGGGGACGAAAGGGAAAAAACCCUGACCUCCAGCUAAGGCCCCUAAGUGGUGGCUAAGUGGGAAAGGAUGUGGGAUAGCCAAGACAGCCAGGAGGUUGGCUUAGAAGCAGCCAUCCUUUAAAGAAAGCGUAACAGCUCACUGGUCUAAACAAGCCGUCCUGCGCCGAAGAUGUACCGGGGCUUAAGCCACCCGCCGAAGCUGAGGGUAUCAGGUGACAGGUGUCAGAUGUUAGGUGACAAACAAACGAAAACAGCCGAAGUUGUUAUCGCCAUCAUUCGUCAGCGAAAUUUCGACAAUUCAUAAUCAGAUGUUGGCGCAACAAGUAUCAAGCCAUCGCUCGCAUGCUGUAUGCUCUCGCGAAGUCUGUGGGUUCGUGACGUUAUGUUUAUCACUUGACACCUGGCACCUGGGCCUUGAUGCGGUAGCGGAGCGUUCCGUAGGCCUGCGAAGGUGUGCCGUGAGGCAUGCUGGAGGUAUCGGAAGUGCGAAUGCUGGCAUGAGUAGCGACAAAGAGUGUGAGAAAC
This 1463-nucleotide ribosomal RNA is filed under the name Hyphomonadaceae bacterium. RNAcentral's name for it is "partial 23S ribosomal RNA". It matches the Rfam family "Bacterial large subunit ribosomal RNA", at positions 1 to 1329 of the family's 2925-position model. The record is from RNAcentral. Lineage: Bacteria; Pseudomonadati; Pseudomonadota; Alphaproteobacteria; Hyphomonadales; Hyphomonadaceae.